RNAcentral lists this ribosomal RNA (409 nucleotides) under uncultured bacterium. RNAcentral's name for it is "bacterial SSU rRNA". It matches the Rfam family "Bacterial small subunit ribosomal RNA", at positions 981 to 1392 of the family's 1533-position model. The record is from RNAcentral.
CGGUUGCAUCUGCGAUCCUUGGAACUUGGGAGUGCCUUCGGGAGCGCAGUGACAGGUGGUGCAUGGCUGUCGUCAGCUCGUGUCGUGAGAUGUUGGGUUAAGUCCCGCAACGAGCGCAACCCACGUCUUUAGUUGCCAGCAUUUAGUUGGGCACUCUAGAGAGACUGCCGGUGAUAAACCGGAGGAAGGUGUGGAUGACGUCAAGUCAUCAUGCCCCUUACAUCCUGGGCUACACACGUACUACAAUGCUACGGACAAAGGGCAGCAAACUCGCGAGAGCUAGCAAAUCCCAUAAAACCGUGGCUCAGUUCAGAUCGUAGGCUGCAACUCGCCUACGUGAAGGAGGAAUCGCUAGUAAUCGCAGGUCAGCAUACUGCGGUGAAUACGUUCCCGGGUCUUGUACACACCG